Molecule: long non-coding RNA, 383 nt
Organism: Colias croceus (clouded yellow)
Lineage: Eukaryota; Metazoa; Arthropoda; Insecta; Lepidoptera; Pieridae
Exons: 2
Source: RefSeq, a predicted model, not a curated record
AAAGUAAUUGGACCUUUUUUAUUGGUAUUUCGAUAAAAAAUAUAAAAAAAAUUGUCCGGUUGAAAAAUAACAAUUCCUUGCAAUUGUUUAAACAAUUUCGGUUUAAACAAUAUGGCACCGGGUUGACAAUAAUUGAUGGUAAAUACGAGUAUUAUUGGUUUGAUGGUCCUCAAAGCCCAUCCUUUGAAGAAUUAUCUUCUCAAUUGCAAGAUUUAGAUACCACGGAAGAUCAGAAUGAAGAAGAUACUGAUGAAGAUGAGGAGAGUGAUGCCAGUAGUGAGGAUGAAUGUUUUUCUGAUGAGUCAGAUGAAAAUUAAUUACUUUUUUAUAUAAAAAUAUCUACUUUUUCAUGUAUGUUACAUAAUAAAGUUGAUUUAUUUCAA